GAGCGUCUGAAAGGAAAAACCAGAUGUAUUCCUCAAGAGUCACUAUGACUGAAGGCUCGCAUUGUGCACUCACAUAAAGGGACAGCUAACCAGAAAACAGCAGCUGAUGAUCUGAAGCCAGGCUGUGCUAUUGUCCGGCGCACAAAUGUUCUACAAGGACCCAGACCACCAUGCGGUUCUCUGUCCACAGACUAUGGAGCCGCUCACAUUCAACUGCUAGCAAUUAUUCCUGUUGACCCUCCUCGCUCUCCAAACGGGGUGUGGAUCUCUGAAGGUUUUUCUCUUUGUACCUGACAAGCCCAUGUUGCCGGCAGGCUCCAAGGGAGGAGGUUGGAAGAGCCUUCACCCAUGAGGAGUACUGAAUAAAUAGACUUUCACCAUCA
Bos indicus x Bos taurus (hybrid cattle) is the source of this 383-nucleotide long non-coding RNA. Lineage: Eukaryota; Metazoa; Chordata; Mammalia; Artiodactyla; Bovidae. The record is from Ensembl.